Molecule: ribosomal RNA, 467 nt
Filed under: uncultured bacterium
Lineage: Bacteria
Description: bacterial SSU rRNA
Rfam family: Bacterial small subunit ribosomal RNA
Source: RNAcentral
ACUCCUACGGGAGGCAGCAGUGAGGAAUAUUGGACAAUGGGCGCAAGCCUGAUCCAGCCAUGCCGCGUGCAGGAAGACUGCCCUAUGGGUUGUAAACUGCUUUUGUACGGGAAGAAACACCCCCUCGUGAGGGGGCUUGACGGUACCGUAAGAAUAAGGAUCGGCUAACUCCGUGCCAGCAGCCGCGGUAAUACGGAGGAUCCGAGCGUUAAUCGGAAUUACUGGGCGUAAAGCGCACGUAGGCGGCUUUGUAAGUCAGAGGUGAAAGCCUGGAGCUCAACUCCAGAACUGCCUUUGAGACUGCAUCGCUUGAAUCCAGGAGAGGUCAGUGGAAUUCCGAGUGUAGAGGUGAAAUUCGUAGAUAUUCGGAAGAACACCAGUGGCGAAGGCGGCUGACUGGACUGGUAUUGACGCUGAGAUGCGAAAGUGUGGGUAGCAAACAGGAUUAGAUACCCUGGUAGGCUCUG